This 1350-nucleotide ribosomal RNA is filed under the name metagenome. RNAcentral describes it as "bacterial LSU rRNA". It matches the Rfam family "Bacterial large subunit ribosomal RNA", at positions 1564 to 2925 of the family's 2925-position model. The record is from RNAcentral.
UGAGUACGAGCUGCUACGGCAGCGAAGUGGGUGAUGUCAAGCUUCCAAGAAAAGCCCUAUACCCGUUAAGGCAUGAUGGCCUGUACCCGAAACCGACACAGGUGGGGUGGUAGAGAAUACCGAGGGGCGCGAGAUAACUCUCUCUAAGGAACUCGGCAAAAUGGCCCCGUAACUUCGGGAGAAGGGGUGCCACCGCAAGGUGGUCGCAGUGAAGAGGCCCAGGCGACUGUUUACCAAAAACACAGGUCUCCGCUAAGUCGCAAGACGAUGUAUGGGGGCUGACGCCUGCCCAGUGCCGGAAGGUUAAGGAAGCUGGUCAGCGUAAGCGAAGCUAGCGACUGAAGCCCCGGUGAACGGCGGCCGUAACAAUAACGGUCCUAAGGUAGCGAAAUUCCUUGUCGGGUAAGUUCCGACCCGCACGAAAGGCGUAACGAUCUGGGCGCUGUCUCGGAGAGAGGCUCGGCGAAAUAGAAUUGUCUGUGAAGAUGCGGACUACGUGCACCCGGACAGAAAGACCCUAUGAAGCUUUACUGUAGCUUGGUAUUGUGCUCGGGCCCGGAAUGCGCAGGAUAGGUGGGAGGCUAUGAACCAUUGCUUGUGGGUGAUGGUGAGCCACUGGUGAGAUACCACUCUUUCCGAGCUAGAGUUCUAACAGCCACCCGUUAUCCGGGGGCUGGACAGUAUCAGGUGGGCAGUUUGACUGGGGCGGUCGCCUCCUAAAAGGUAACGGAGGCGCGCAAAGGUUUGCUCAGGCUGGUUGGAAAUCAGCCGACGAGUGUAAAAGCAGAAGCAAGCUUGACUGUGAGACCUACAAGUCGAACAGGGAGGAAACUCGGCUUUAGUGAUCCGACGGUUCUGCGUGGAAGGGCCGUCGCUCAACGGAUAAAAGUUACUCUAAGGAUAACAGGCUGAUCUCCCCCAAGAGUUCACAUCGACGGGGAGGUUUGGCACCUCGAUGUCGGCUCAUCGCAACCUGGGGCUGAAGUCGGUCCCAAGGGUUGGGCUGUUCGCCCAUUAAAGCGGUACGCGAGCUGGGUUCAGAACGUCGUGAGACAGUUCGGUCCAUAUCCGGUGCAUGCGCAGGAAUAUUGAGAGGAUUUCUCCCUAGUACGAGAGGACCGGGAGGAACGCACCUCUGGUGUACCAGUUAUCGUGCCAACGGUAAACGCUGGGUAGCCAUGUGCGGAGAGGAUAACCGCUGAAAGCAUCUAAGUGGGAAGCCCACCUCAAGAUGAGUAUUCCCAUGGGGUAACCCAGUAAGGUCACGGGAAGAACACCCGUUGAUAGGCUCUACGUGGAAGCGCAGUAAUGUGUGAAGCGGAGGAGUACUAAUAGACCGAGGGCUUGAGC